Molecule: long non-coding RNA, 379 nt
Organism: Neltuma alba
Lineage: Eukaryota; Viridiplantae; Streptophyta; Magnoliopsida; Fabales; Fabaceae
Exons: 2
Source: RefSeq, a predicted model, not a curated record
AGCAUUUGAACGGUUCUCAACACUUGUCGGAUCAACGGUCAUACCCGGACAUCAACAUAUCUCUUCCUGCCCGAUAGAUAUUUUAGGUGAUUUGGAGGCUGACAUGAUAACAGAAUGAAACUAACUGGUACCUUUUGGCUUGACAACCAGAUUAUUUUGUUCUAGUGUAAUUUUCUUUGUAUUAGGAUAUUUGUGUGAAAUUAGAGAGGAAUGAGGACUCAUCUUUUUGUUUGAUCUCUAGUUCUUUAAUGUAUCAGAGACUAUCACCUAUUACUCGUAGAAGUUUGUUAAUUAAGGUUUGCUGUUUCACUUAUGCCCGCUCAUUCAUGAGUUUUCUCUCAGUAGCGUUCUGAGGCUAAUGGUACCUUUGACGCAUGAA